RNAcentral lists this ribosomal RNA (775 nucleotides) under uncultured Neocallimastigales. RNAcentral's name for it is "partial large subunit ribosomal RNA". It matches the Rfam family "Eukaryotic large subunit ribosomal RNA", at positions 23 to 626 of the family's 3401-position model. The record is from RNAcentral. Lineage: Eukaryota; Fungi; Neocallimastigomycota; Neocallimastigomycetes; Neocallimastigales.
GAGAGAGACAUGCGCGCAUAUCAAUAAGCGGAGGAAAAGAAGCUAACAAGGAUUCCCUUAGUAACGGCGAGUGAAGCGGGAAGAGCUCAAAUUUGAAAUCUUCAAGGUUUUACCUUGACGAAUUGUAGUUUAAAGAAGUGUUUUCUGCUGAAGUUUUGGUAAAAGUUCUUUGGAAUAGGACAUCAUAGAGGGUGAGAAUCCCGUAUUUGACCAUUAUUUCCAGCUUUGUGAUACACUUUCAAAGAGUCGGAUUGUUUGGGGAUGCAGUCCAAAAUGGGUGGUAAAUUUCAUCUAAAGCUAAAUAUUGGCGAGAGACCGAUAGCGAACAAGUACCGAUGAGGGAAAGAUGAAAAGAACUUUGAAAAGGAGAGUUAAACAGUACGUGAAAUUGUCAAAAGGGAAGCGUUUGACACCAGUGUUGUUUUCUCGAAAAUCAAUUAAAAAUGGCUCGAUUUUGUAUUGCUUGAGACCUUAAAAGCUCACUGUACAUUUUUCGUGUCUUUUUUAAUGCACUUUUCGUUUAACAAGUCAACAUCAGUUUCUUUUGUUGUAAAAGGGUCAUUGGAAGGUGGCUUUCUUUUCGGAGAAAGUGUUUAUAGCCUUUGGCCUCUGCAAUCGGAGAGGCUGAGGUCUGCAGCGUAGACUCUUCGGGGUUAGAUACAUUUGUGCUAAGUUAUAGCUUUUUAUAGACAACUUGUUGACUAUAAUUAGUCUUGUAGCUUACUCGCUUAUGCUAUUUUACCUACGCUAGGAUGUUGAGUCGUAGAGCACGCAG